This 23-nucleotide non-coding RNA is filed under the name Arabidopsis thaliana (thale cress). The record is from RNAcentral. Lineage: Eukaryota; Viridiplantae; Streptophyta; Magnoliopsida; Brassicales; Brassicaceae.
CGCAAUUUGUGGUGCUUUAAACA